GACAGUGCUGAGGGCUGGACG
This 21-nucleotide unclassified non-coding RNA is filed under the name Chlamydomonas reinhardtii. Its description in RNAcentral is "small RNA Cre_1571". The record is from RNAcentral. Lineage: Eukaryota; Viridiplantae; Chlorophyta; Chlorophyceae; Chlamydomonadales; Chlamydomonadaceae.